UCUGGGAUAGUUUAAUUGGUAAAACCCUGCACUGUUAAUGCAGUGAUCCUGGUCCGAGUCCAGGUCCCAGAG
This 72-nucleotide transfer RNA is filed under the name Patescibacteria group bacterium. RNAcentral describes it as "tRNA-Asn". It matches the Rfam family "tRNA". Rfam says of the family: Transfer RNA (tRNA) molecules are approximately 80 nucleotides in length. Their secondary structure includes four short double-helical elements and three loops (D, anti-codon, and T loops). Further hydrogen bonds mediate the characteristic L-shaped molecular structure. tRNAs have two regions of fundamental functional importance: the anti-codon, which is responsible for specific mRNA codon recognition, and the 3' end, to which the tRNAs corresponding amino acid is attached (by aminoacyl-tRNA synthetases). tRNAs cope with the degeneracy of the genetic code in two manners: having more than one tRNA (with a specific anti-codon) for a particular amino acid; and 'wobble' base-pairing, i.e. permitting non-standard base-pairing at the 3rd anti-codon position. The record is from RNAcentral.